UGCGCCUUGCCAGCCCGCUCAGAAACUUAAAUGAAUUGACGGGGGCCCGCACAAGCGGAGGAACAUGUGGUUUAAUUCGAUGAUACGCGAGGAACCUUACCUGGACUUAAAUGCAGGACGACCGGUGCCGAAAGGUGCCUUUCUUCGGACGGCUUGCAAGGUGCUGCAUGGUUGUCGUCAGCUCGUGCCGUGAGGUGUCGGGUUAAGUCCCAUAACGAGCGCAACCCCUACCGUUAGUUACCAUCAGGUUAUGCUGGGGACUCUAGCGGGACUGCCACCGUAAGGUGCGAGGAAGGUGGGGAUGACGUCAAAUCAGCACGGCCCUUAUGUCCAGGGCUACACACGUGUUACAAUGGCCAGUACAAAGGGCAGCUACCAGGCGACUGGAUGCUAAUCUCUAAAGCUGGUCUCAGUUCGGAUCGAAGUCUGCAACCCGACUUCGUGAAGCUGGAAUCGCUAGUAAUCGCGCAUCAGCCAUGGCGCGGUGAAUACGUUCCCGGGCCUU
RNAcentral lists this ribosomal RNA (505 nucleotides) under uncultured Sphingobacteriales bacterium. RNAcentral's name for it is "bacterial SSU rRNA". It matches the Rfam family "Bacterial small subunit ribosomal RNA", at positions 903 to 1382 of the family's 1533-position model. Lineage: Bacteria; Pseudomonadati; Bacteroidota; Sphingobacteriia; Sphingobacteriales. The record is from RNAcentral.